CGCACAUUGCGCCCCGUGGUAUUCCGCGGGGCAUGCCUGUUCGAGCGUCAUUAUACCAAUCAAGCCUGGCUUGGUGUUGGAGUCCGCUAACUCGCGGCUCUUAAAUGCAACGGCAGUCUAAGCAGGACCCUAAGCGUAGUAAUCGCUCUCGCUUCUGGGUCCUGUGGUGCCUCGCCGACCACUACUUCUCACAAUUGACCUCGGAUCAGGUAGGGAUACCCGCUGAACUUAA
RNAcentral lists this unclassified non-coding RNA (232 nucleotides) under Durella connivens. RNAcentral's name for it is "partial contains 5.8S ribosomal RNA, internal transcribed spacer 2, and large subunit ribosomal RNA". The record is from RNAcentral. Lineage: Eukaryota; Fungi; Ascomycota; Leotiomycetes; Helotiales.